UACGUAGGGGGCUAGCGUUGUCCGGAUUUAUUGGGCGUAAAGAGCGUGUAGGCGGCCAGGUAGGUCUGCUGUGAAAACUCGAGGCUCAACCUCGAGAUGUCGGCGGAAACCAUCUGGCUAGAGUCCGGAAGAGGAGAGUGGAAUUCCUGGUGUAGCGGUGAAAUUCGUAGAUAUCGAGAAGAACACCGGUGGCGAAGGCGGCCAUCUGGACGGUGACUGACGCUGAGACGCGAAAGCGUGGGGAGCAAACAGG
Molecule: ribosomal RNA, 253 nt
Filed under: uncultured bacterium
Lineage: Bacteria
Description: partial 16S ribosomal RNA
Rfam family: Bacterial small subunit ribosomal RNA
Source: RNAcentral